GACAGAGGGGGCAAGCGUUGCUCGGAAUUACUGGGCGUAAAGGGCGCGUAGGCGGGAUGGCAAGUCGGUCGUGAAAUCCUUCGGCUCAACCGGGGAACUGCGUCCGAUACUGGAUGGCUUGAGUUCGGGAGAGGGAUGCGGAAUUCCAGGUGUAGCGGUGAAAUGCGUAGAUAUCUGGAGGAACACCGGUGGCGAAGGCGGCAUCCUGGACCGACACUGACGCUGAGGAGCGAAAGCCAGGGGAGCAAACGGG
RNAcentral lists this ribosomal RNA (253 nucleotides) under uncultured bacterium. RNAcentral describes it as "partial 16S ribosomal RNA". It matches the Rfam family "Bacterial small subunit ribosomal RNA", at positions 524 to 776 of the family's 1533-position model. The record is from RNAcentral.